AGCGAACGCUGGCGGCAGGCUUAACACAUGCAAGUCGAGCGGGCACUUCGGUGUCAGCGGCAGACGGGUUAGUAACACGUGGGAACGUACCCUUUGGUUCGGAAUAACGCUGGGAAACUAGCGCUAAUACCGGAUACGCCCUUUUGGGGAAAGGCUUGCUGCCGAAGGAUCGGCCCGCGUCUGAUUAGCUAGUUGGUUGGGUAAUGGCCUACCAAGGCGACGAUCAGUAGCUGGUCUGAGAGGAUGAUCAGCCACACUGGGACUGAGACACGGCCCAGACUCCUACGGGAGGCAGCAGUGGGGAAUAUUGGACAAUGGGCGCAAGCAUGAUCCAGCCAUGCCGCGUGAGUGAUGAAGGCCUUAGGGUUGUAAAGCUCUUUUGUCCGGGACGAUAAUGACGGUACCGGAAGAAUAAGCCCCGGCUAACUUCGUG
This 433-nucleotide ribosomal RNA is filed under the name uncultured bacterium. RNAcentral describes it as "partial 16S ribosomal RNA". It matches the Rfam family "Bacterial small subunit ribosomal RNA", at positions 29 to 507 of the family's 1533-position model. The record is from RNAcentral.